GAGGAGGCGGGCAUGCAAACGGGCACAGGGUCAGAGACGGGAACAGCGUCAGAGGGCCCUGAAGCUGACUCCACUCUUCUCCGUGUGUUUUAUUCCACUUCCCAGCUGUUCAUCAAAGAAUCAUCUGAACAUUGAUAAUUUUCAUGAGGCAGGAACAUGACGAAAUUCAGCAAUAGGAGCUAAGUGAAGAUGGAUACUUUAACAAAUUGAUCAUUGUGUCUUAUAAAGACAACCUUUGGCCGUUCUUUCUCUGCAUGUGGCACAUACACUUACUGAGACUGGAGUCUACCUAAUGUAUCUUGAGGGCUCACGUGACAAAGGCUUGGUCUCCGAGGUGGUAAUGUUGGGAGGCAGCACAGCCUAUGAGGAGCGGGCACUGAGAGAAAGCCUGAGAUCCCUGGAGAGGCACCCUUAAAGCAGGUUGGGAAACUCUGUCUCCAUCCUCUUCCUCUCUUAGCUCUCCAUCCACAAGGUGAGUGGUUUUUUUCUGCCACACAAUCCUGCCAAUGUGUGCUGCCUCAUUUCACACUUAAACAAACAGGUCCUGAACAACCAUGAACUGAAACCUCCAAACUUGUGGCCAAAAUAAAUUUUUUCUCUUCAUAA
Molecule: long non-coding RNA, 606 nt
Organism: Cavia porcellus (domestic guinea pig)
Lineage: Eukaryota; Metazoa; Chordata; Mammalia; Rodentia; Caviidae
Exons: 3
Source: RefSeq, a predicted model, not a curated record